This 656-nucleotide ribosomal RNA is filed under the name uncultured bacterium. RNAcentral's name for it is "bacterial SSU rRNA". It matches the Rfam family "Bacterial small subunit ribosomal RNA", at positions 54 to 745 of the family's 1533-position model. The record is from RNAcentral.
CAUGCAAGUCGACGAGAAACCCGAGCUUGCUCGGGUGGACAGUGGCAGACGGCUUAGUAACGCGUGGGUAUCUACCUAGAGGUUUGGAACAACUAUUGGAAACGAUAGCUAAUACCAAAUAUUCCCUAAGGGGGAAAGAUUUAUCGCCUUUAGAUGAGCCCGCGUCGGAUUAGCUUGUUGGUAGGGUAAAGGCCUACCAAGGCAACGAUCCGUAGCUGGUCUGAGAGGAUGAUCAGCAAGAUUGGGACUGAGACACGGCCCAGACUCCUACGGGAGGCAGCAGUGGGGAAUAUUGCGCAAUGGGGGAAACCCUGACGCAGCGAUGCCGCGUGAGUGAAGAAGGCCUUAGGGUUGUAAAACUCUUUCACCGGUGAAGAUAAUGACGGUAGCCGGAGAAGAAGCCCCGGCUAACUCCGUGCCAGCAGCCGCGGUAAUACGGAGGGGGCUAACGUUGUUCGGAAUUACUGGGCGUAAAGCGCGCGUAGGCGGAUUAGACAGUUGAGGGUGAAAUCCCGGAGCUUAACUCCGGAACUGCCUUCAAUACUACUAAUCUUGAGUUCGGAAGAGGUGAGUGGAAUUCCUAGUGUAGAGGUGAAAUUCGUAGAUAUUAGGAAGAACAUCAGUGGCGAAGGCGACUCACUGGUCCGAUACUGACG